UAUGCUCUAGUGUAGAGGCACGGAGAAAUUUGAAUUCUUAAGAUCUAGCUCUAACUAGGGAGUAUUA
RNAcentral lists this transfer RNA (67 nucleotides) under Chaleponcus netus. Its description in RNAcentral is "tRNA-Gln". The record is from RNAcentral. Lineage: Eukaryota; Metazoa; Arthropoda; Diplopoda; Spirostreptida; Odontopygidae.